Desulfosporosinus orientis DSM 765 is the source of this 100-nucleotide regulatory RNA element. It matches the Rfam family "Pyrrolysine insertion sequence mttB". The record is from Rfam. Lineage: Bacteria; Bacillati; Bacillota; Clostridia; Eubacteriales; Desulfitobacteriaceae.
UGCUCAGACUCCAAUAUUGUGGAUGAGCAAGCAGGUAUUGAAGCAGCCAUGUCCAUUGCUAUGACUGCUCUUUCCGGACCUAACCUUAACCAUGAUGUGG